RNAcentral lists this small RNA (190 nucleotides) under Pongo abelii (Sumatran orangutan). RNAcentral describes it as "processed transcript". Lineage: Eukaryota; Metazoa; Chordata; Mammalia; Primates; Hominidae. The record is from RNAcentral.
GGACCACACAGGUGCCAUGGACCACAGGGGCAGAGCAUUGUAAUUUCCAACCCUCUGGGAUGAGUCUGACGACAGUAACUCAGAAAUUGAGGCUGCUUUACGCCCUAGAAACCAUAACACCGACGAUUCUGAUGAUUUUUAUGACUAACAUGCUGUGACAUCUGUUCCAAAUAAAGUCUUUAAACAAACU